GACGAACGCUGGCGGCGUGCUUAACACAUGCAAGUCGAACGGAAAGGCCUCUUCGGAGGUACUCGAGUGGCGAACGGGUGAGUAACACGUGGGCAAUCUGCCCUGCACUUCGGGAUAAGCCUGGGAAACUGGGUCUAAUACCGGAUAGGACCUUAAGACGCAUGUCUUUUGGUGGAAAGCUUUUGCGGUGUGGGAUGGGCCCGCGGCCUAUCAGCUUGUUGGUGGGGUGACGGCCUACCAAGGCGACGACGGGUAGCCGGCCUGAGAGGGUGUCCGGCCACACUGGGACUGAGAUACGGCCCAGACUCCUACGGGAGGCAGCAGUGGGGAAUAUUGCACAAUGGGCGCAAGCCUGAUGCAGCGACGCCGCGUGGGGGAUGACGGCCUUCGGGUUGUAAACCUCUUUCACCAUCGACGAAGGUCCGGG
This 427-nucleotide ribosomal RNA is filed under the name Mycobacteriaceae bacterium Ellin7101. Its description in RNAcentral is "bacterial SSU rRNA". It matches the Rfam family "Bacterial small subunit ribosomal RNA", at positions 28 to 457 of the family's 1533-position model. Lineage: Bacteria; Bacillati; Actinomycetota; Actinomycetes; Mycobacteriales; Mycobacteriaceae. The record is from RNAcentral.